AUGAACGCUGGCGGCGUGCCUAACACAUGCAAGUCGAACGGAGUAGCAAUACUUUAGUGGCGCACGGGUGAGUAACACGUAGCUAACCUACCCUCAAGCGGGGGAUAACGUUCCGAAAGGAAUGCUAAUACCGCAUAAGCUCACAUGAAGUAGAGGAAUGUGAGAAAAGGCGCAAGUCACUUGAGGAUGGGGCUGCGGCCCAUCAGGUAGUUGGUAGGGUAAUGGCCUACCAAGCCGACGACGGGUAGGGGGCCUGAGAGGGUGAUCCCCCACACUGGGACUGAGACACGGCCCAGACUCCUACGGGAGGCAGCAGUGAGGAAUAUUGGGUCAAUGGGCGAAAGCCUGAACCAGCGACGCCGCGUGGGUGAAG
Molecule: ribosomal RNA, 373 nt
Filed under: uncultured Anaerolineaceae bacterium
Lineage: Bacteria; Bacillati; Chloroflexota; Anaerolineae; Anaerolineales; Anaerolineaceae
Description: bacterial SSU rRNA
Rfam family: Bacterial small subunit ribosomal RNA
Source: RNAcentral